GACGAACGCUGGCGGCGUGCCUAAUACAUGCAAGUAGAACGCUGAAGAGAGGAGCUUGCUCUUCUUGGAUGAGUUGCGAACGGGUGAGUAACGCGUAGGUAACCUGCCUGGUAGCGGGGGAUAACUAUUGGAAACGAUAGCUAAUACCGCAUAAAAUUGAUUAUUGCAUGAUAAUUAAUUGAAAGAUGCAACUGCAUCACUACCAGAUGGACCUGCGUUGUAUUAGCUAGUUGGUGAGGUAACGGCUCACCAAGGCGACGAUACAUAGCCGACCUGAGAGGGUGAUCGGCCACACUGGGACUGAGACACGGCCCAGACUCCUACAGGAGGCAGCAGUAGGGAAUCUUCGGCAAUGGGGGGAACCCUGACCGAGCAACGCCGCGGGAGUGAAGAAGGUUUUCGGAUCGUAAAGCUCUGUUGUAAGAGAAGAACGGGUGUGAGAGUGGAAAGUUCACACUGUGACGGUAUCUUACCAGAAAGGGACGGCUAACUACGUG
Molecule: ribosomal RNA, 497 nt
Filed under: uncultured bacterium
Lineage: Bacteria
Description: partial 16S ribosomal RNA
Rfam family: Bacterial small subunit ribosomal RNA
Source: RNAcentral